This 429-nucleotide ribosomal RNA is filed under the name uncultured bacterium. Its description in RNAcentral is "bacterial SSU rRNA". It matches the Rfam family "Bacterial small subunit ribosomal RNA", at positions 917 to 1349 of the family's 1533-position model. The record is from RNAcentral.
GGGCCCGCACAAGCGGCGGAGCAUGCGGAUUAAUUCGAUGCAACGCGAAGAACCUUACCUGGGUUUGACAUACACCGGAAAGCUGCAGAGAUGUAGCCCCUUUUUGUCGGUGUACAGGUGGUGCAUGGCUGUCGUCAGCUCGUGUCGUGAGAUGUUGGGUUAAGUCCCGCAACGAGCGCAACCCUCGUCCUAUGUUGCCAGCACGUGAUGGUGGGGACUCAUAGGAGACUGCCGGGGUCAACUCGGAGGAAGGUGGGGAUGACGUCAAGUCAUCAUGCCCCUUAUGUCCAGGGCUUCACGCAUGCUACAAUGGCCGGUACAAAGGGCUGCGAUCCCGUGAGGGGGAGCGAAUCCCAAAAAGCCGGUCUCAGUUCGGAUUGGGGUCUGCAACUCGACCCCAUGAAGUCGGAGUCGCUAGUAAUCGCAGAU